CCUACGGGACGCAGCAGUAGGGAAUAUUGCUCAAUGGGGGAAACCCUGAAGCAGCAACGCCGCGUGGAGGAUGAAGGUUUUCGGAUUGUAAACCUCUGUCCUCUGUGAAGAUGAUGACGGUAGCAGAGGAGGAAGCUCCGGCUAACUACGUGCCAGCAGCCGCGGUAAUACGUAGGGAGCGAGCGUUGUCCGGAUUUACUGGGUGUAAAGGGUGCGUAGGCGGCUUGGCAAGUCAGUAGUGAAAUCCAUGGGCUUAACCCAGGAACUGCUAUUGAAACUGUCGAGCUUGAGUGAAGUAGAGGUAG
This 305-nucleotide ribosomal RNA is filed under the name uncultured bacterium. RNAcentral's name for it is "bacterial SSU rRNA". It matches the Rfam family "Bacterial small subunit ribosomal RNA", at positions 338 to 660 of the family's 1533-position model. The record is from RNAcentral.